UGCACGAUUCACUGCUCGUGGGCUAUUACACCAGGUCCACUCCGCUUGACAGUGCAAACAAAGCGGGAUCGGAAUAGCAAAAAUGAGAAGCUUUCCCCGGGAUUAAACCCCCGUCCUUUUAACAUGUUCCAUAUCGUCGGUCGUCGUUAGUGGGUGUCAGUCACUUUGGUUACGUGCAGAACACACUGUUCUGCUGUGUCAAACGCGGCGAAGCAAUGACAGGGAAAUACGAGGCUGUAACACAAGACUUCUUUCGCUUCUCUACAGUACUCUACAUGCGCUACAAGUCCAACAAAGUAAAAUGACGUCCUUUUACGUAUGGGAGACCUGAAAACAACAACGGACAAAUUUGUUACAUAGAGUGACCAGGAUGAAGAGAGAACUGAUUAAAUAGAAAUGCAGUGACUUGCACUGAUGCAGGUGUCCACCAGAUGCUGCAUGCAGACAGAGAGGCAAGCGAAGCCGGCAGAGAGGCAAGCAGACUGCACUGUCUCAGGUCUUGCCAGGAACGGCAUUGGAUGGAGAUGUAACAUCCACUUCUAAUCAAGAUCCUGUGGGCAGGAUUGGAACAGCAAGUGGCUCUCCAGGGACAGUACAGACUGUAGGAUCAAAAAUGAUUUAUUUCUUUGUGUGUCAUGCAAACCAAUCACUUCUUGCCCGUGACAUCACAAUUAAACAUAAUUAACAUGAAGUGGCAUGGCUUGUUCUUUUUACAUGUUGGAAGUUACUGGUAUAGCCCUUCACACGUAUCUUUAUACAGGUGGAAAAUGGCAGAUUUGGGCACUGUUAAAUGCCUAAAUUGGAACGUAGUGAUUGCACAAUAAUAUGCUAUACAUG
Oncorhynchus kisutch (coho salmon) is the source of this 837-nucleotide long non-coding RNA. RefSeq lists it as uncharacterized. NCBI's taxonomy places the organism in Eukaryota, Metazoa, Chordata, Actinopteri, Salmoniformes, Salmonidae. The transcript has 3 exons. The record is from RefSeq and is a predicted model, not a curated record.